CUCCGUGGCCGCCCAGGCGCCACAGCGGGGAGCCGCGGUCGACCCCUCCGGGAUGGGGGCCAGGGCAGCCUCCGCGGCUAUCCCGGGAGUCCUGCUCCGACACCACCUCCACAGGGGAAGCCGCUCGGAGAGACGCAGGGACCCAGGCAAGGGAUGCGGGCAAACGCGCCAAGGGUUCAGCAGAGGGGCGUGACCGCCAGUUGGCCGGGCUGAGCGAGGCGCCAGAGGGAAGCCUGCAAGGUCCGGAUUGCGGCUGUCCCUGUGUGACACGGC
RNAcentral lists this long non-coding RNA (273 nucleotides) under Homo sapiens (human). RNAcentral describes it as "HSALNT0163495". Lineage: Eukaryota; Metazoa; Chordata; Mammalia; Primates; Hominidae. The record is from RNAcentral.